AGAGUUUGAUCCUGACUCAGAACGAACGCUGGCGGCGUGCCUAACACAUGCAAGUCCAACGUGAAAGGGGAGCAAUCCCCCGGUAGGGUGGCAAACGGGUGAGUAAUACAUGGGUGAUCUACCUUAGGGAUGGGGAUAUCCUUCCGAAAGGAGGGGCAAUACCGAAUAUUGUCCGGGACCGUGAAGGGUUUCGGGGAAAGGGAGGCCUCUGACACAAGCUUUCGCCUUAAGAUGAGCCCAUGGCCCAUCAGCUAGUUGGUAGGGUAAAGGCCUACCAAGGCUACGACGGGUCGCUGGUCUGAGAGGACGACCAGCCACACUGGCACUGAGAUACGGGCCAGACUCCUACGGGAGGCAGCAGUGAGGAAUAUUGCGCAAUGGGGGAAACCCUGACGCAGCAACGCCGCGUGUGGGAAGAAGGCCUUCGGGUCGUAAACCACUUUUACUCGGGACGAAAAAGGGAUAUCAAACAAAUAUCCCCGAUGACGGUACCGUGAGAAUAAGCCACGGCUAACUCUGUGCCAGCAGCCGCGGUAAGACAGAGGUGGCAAGCGUUGUUCGGAAUUACUGGGCGUAAAGAGUCUGUAGGUGGUUUGUCAAGUCUUUGGUGAAAGGCCGUAGCUUAACUAUGGGAAUGCCAAAGAGACUGGCAGGCUGGAGGCUGGGAGAGGGAAGCGGAAUUUCUGGUGUAGCGGUGAAAUGCGUAGAUAUCAGAAGGAAGGCCGGUGGCGAAGGCGGCUUCCUGGAACAGUCCUGACA
This 759-nucleotide ribosomal RNA is filed under the name uncultured bacterium. RNAcentral describes it as "bacterial SSU rRNA". It matches the Rfam family "Bacterial small subunit ribosomal RNA", at positions 8 to 745 of the family's 1533-position model. The record is from RNAcentral.